CCUGACUGCUAUCGGAUUGAUACUAAGCCAUGCGAGUCAUUGUAGUAAUACAAGGCAGACGGCUCAGUAACGCGUAGUCAACCUAACCUAUGGACGGGAAUAACCUCGGGAAACUGAGUAUAAUGUCCGAUAGAACAUUAUGCCUGGAAUGGUUUAUGUUCCAAAUGAUUUAUCGCCGUAGGAUGGGACUGCGGCCUAUCAGUUUGUUGGUGAGGUAAUGGCCCACCAAGACUAUUACAGGUACGGGCUCUGAGAGGAGUAGCCCGGAGAUGGGUACUGAGACACGGACCCAGGCCCUAUGGGGCGCAGCAGGCGAGAAAACUUUGCAAUGUGCGAAAGCACGACAAGGUUAAUCCGAGUGGUUUCUGCUAAAGGAACCUUUUGUUAGUCCUAGAAACACUAACGAAUAAGGGGUGGGCAAGUUCUGGUGUCAGCCGCCGCGGUAAAACCAGCACCUCAAGUGGUCAGGAUGAUUAUUGGGCCUAAAGCAUCCGUAGCCGGCUUUGUAAGUUUUCGGUUAAAUCCAUGUGCUCAACGCAUGGGCUGCCGAAAAUACUGCAUAGCUAGGGAGUGGAAGAGGUAGACGGUACUCAGUAGGUAGGGGUAAAAUCCUUUGAUCUAUUGAUGACCACCUGUGGCGAAGGCGGUCUACCAGAACACGUUCGACGGUGAGGGAUGAAAGCUGGGGGAGCAAACCGGAUUAGAUACCCGGGUAGUCCCAGCUGUAAACGAUGCAGACUCGAUGAUGCAUUGGCAUAUAGCCAGUGCAGUGUCGCAGGGAAGCCGUUAAGUCUGCCGCCUGGGAAGUACGUACGCAAGUAUGAAACUUAAAGGAAUUGGCGGGGGAGCACCACAAGGGGUGAAGCCUGCGGUUC
Molecule: ribosomal RNA, 875 nt
Filed under: uncultured archaeon
Lineage: Archaea
Description: bacterial SSU rRNA
Rfam family: Archaeal small subunit ribosomal RNA
Source: RNAcentral